UGGGGAAUAUUGCACAAUGGGCGCAAGCCUGAUGCAGCCAUGCCGCGUGUGUGAAGAAGGCCUUCGGGUUGUAAAGCACUUUCAGCGAGGAGGAAGGGUAGUGUGUUAAUAGCACAUUGCAUUGACGUUACUCGCAGAAGAAGCACCGGCUAACUCCGUGCCAGCAGCCGCGGUAAUACGGAGGGUGCAAGCGUUAAUCGGAAUUACUGGGCGUAAAGCGCACGCAGGCGGGUUGUUAAAUCAGAUGUGAAAUCCCCGCGCUUAACGUGGGAACUGCAUUUGAAACUGGCAAGCUAGAGUCUUGUAGAGGGGGGUAGAAUUCCAGGUGUAGCGGUGAAAUGCGUAGAGAUCUGGAGGAAUACCGGUGGCGAAGGCGGCCCCCUGGACAAAGACUGACGCUCAGGUGCGAAAGCGUGGGGAGCAAACA
This 427-nucleotide ribosomal RNA is filed under the name uncultured bacterium. Its description in RNAcentral is "partial 16S ribosomal RNA". It matches the Rfam family "Bacterial small subunit ribosomal RNA", at positions 355 to 774 of the family's 1533-position model. The record is from RNAcentral.